UCCCUGGUAGCUCAGAGGUUAAAGCGUCUGCCUCCAAUGCGGGAGACCUGGGUUCGAUCCCUGGGUUGGGAA
This 72-nucleotide transfer RNA is filed under the name Ovis aries (sheep). It matches the Rfam family "tRNA". Rfam says of the family: Transfer RNA (tRNA) molecules are approximately 80 nucleotides in length. Their secondary structure includes four short double-helical elements and three loops (D, anti-codon, and T loops). The record is from Rfam by way of RNAcentral. Lineage: Eukaryota; Metazoa; Chordata; Mammalia; Artiodactyla; Bovidae. RNAcentral also lists the same sequence under 1 other name.